Molecule: non-coding RNA, 368 nt
Organism: Pelobates cultripes (western spadefoot toad)
Lineage: Eukaryota; Metazoa; Chordata; Amphibia; Anura; Pelobatidae
Source: the annotation of a GenBank genome assembly
GGCUUAUUUUCGGUGGAGGUCUUAUUUCGGGGAAAAACGUGUGCUAGAAAGCAGGUUUAUGUUCGGGGGAAUUCCCCCGAACAUAGACCGAUUCACUAGGGCAUGGAAUCCUGCAAAGCUAUGUUCGGGGAAACUUUCCUGAACAUAGAUUAGCUUACUCACUAAUUGGAAUACCGCAAAUCCAUGUUCCAGGAAACUUCCCCGAACAUAGAUAAGUUCACUCGCGAAUGGAACCUUGCGUAUCUAUGUUCGGGGAAACUUUCCUGAACAUAGAUAAGCUUAUUGGUGAAUGGAAUCUUGCGUAUCUGUGUUCGGGGAAAAUUCGGGGUAGAUUAGCGAACGGCUAGGGUUUAUUGUCAGGGUAGGGC